CCUACGGGAGGCAGCAGUGGGGAAUAUUGGGCAAUGGACGCAAGCCUGACCCAGCAACGCCGCGUGAAGGAAGAAGGCUUUCGGGUUGUAAACUUCUUUUCAGAGGGAAGAGCAGAAGACGGUAACCCUUGAAUAAGCCAACGCUAACUACGAGCCAGCAGCCGCGGUAAUACGUAGGUGGGAAGCGUUUUCCGGAUUUACUGGGUGUAAAGGGCGUGGAGCCGGGGAUACAAGUUAGAUGUGAAAUCCACGGGCUCAACCCGUGACCUGCAUUUGAAACUGUUUCCCUUGAGUGUUGGAGAGGUAAUCGGAAUUCCGAGUGUAGCGGUGAAAUGCGUAGAUAUUAGGAAGAACACCAGUGGCGAAGGCGGAUUACUGGACGAUAACUGACGGUGAGGCGCGAAAGCGUGGGGAGCAAACAGGAUUAGAUACCCGGGUAGUC
Molecule: ribosomal RNA, 442 nt
Filed under: uncultured bacterium
Lineage: Bacteria
Description: partial 16S ribosomal RNA
Rfam family: Bacterial small subunit ribosomal RNA
Source: RNAcentral